AGUGUGCAUGAGAUCUACAACG
This 22-nucleotide non-coding RNA is filed under the name Arabidopsis thaliana (thale cress). The record is from RNAcentral. Lineage: Eukaryota; Viridiplantae; Streptophyta; Magnoliopsida; Brassicales; Brassicaceae.